RNAcentral lists this transfer RNA (68 nucleotides) under Acanthocardia tuberculata (tuberculate cockle). RNAcentral's name for it is "tRNA-Phe". The record is from RNAcentral. Lineage: Eukaryota; Metazoa; Mollusca; Bivalvia; Cardiida; Cardiidae.
CCUUAGGUAGCUUAAAAUUAUAAAGCGUUGCUUUGAAGCAGCAGCGAAAGAGGUUUCUCUUCUAAGGG